RNAcentral lists this ribosomal RNA (253 nucleotides) under uncultured bacterium. Its description in RNAcentral is "partial 16S ribosomal RNA". It matches the Rfam family "Bacterial small subunit ribosomal RNA", at positions 524 to 776 of the family's 1533-position model. The record is from RNAcentral.
UACGUAGGGUGCAAGCGUUGUCCGGAAUUAUUGGGCGUAAAGAGCUCGUAGGCGGUUUGUCGCGUCCGCUGUGAAAAUCCAGGGCUUAACCCUGGACCUGCAGUGGGUACGGGCAGACUAGAGUGCGGUAGGGGAGAUCGGAAUUCCUGGUGUAGCGGUGAAAUGCGCAGAUAUCAGGAGGAACACCGGUGGCGAAGGCGGCCACCUGGACGGUAACUGACGCUGAGACGCGAAAGCGUGGGGAGCAAACAGG